GAUGAACGCUAGCUACAGGCUUAACACAUGCAAGUCGAGGGGAAACGAUAUUGGAAGCUUGCUUCCGAUAGGCGUCGACCGGCGCACGGGUGAGUAACGCGUAUCCAACCUGCCCAUCACUUGGGGAUAACCUUGCGAAAGUAAGACUAAUACCCAAUGACGUCUCUAGAAGACAUCUGAAGGAGAUUAAAGAUUUAUCGGUGAUGGAUGGGGAUGCGUCUGAUUAGCUUGUUGGCGGGGUAACGGCCCACCAAGGCGACGAUCAGUAGGGGUUCUGAGAGGAAGGUCCCCCACAUUGGAACUGAGACACGGUCCAAACUCCUACGGGAGGCAGCAGUGAGGAAUAUUGGUCAAUGGACGAGAGUCUGAACCAGCCAAGUAGCGUGCAGGAUGACGGCCCUAUGGGUUGUAAACUGCUUUUAUAAGGGAUAAAGUGGGAGUCGUGACUCUUUUUGCAUGUACCUUAUGAAUAAGGACCGGCUAAUUCCGUGCCAGCAGCCGACGG
Molecule: ribosomal RNA, 505 nt
Filed under: uncultured bacterium
Lineage: Bacteria
Description: bacterial SSU rRNA
Rfam family: Bacterial small subunit ribosomal RNA
Source: RNAcentral